Long non-coding RNA from Xyrauchen texanus (razorback sucker), 3309 nucleotides. RefSeq lists it as uncharacterized. The transcript has 5 exons. The record is from RefSeq and is a predicted model, not a curated record. Lineage: Eukaryota; Metazoa; Chordata; Actinopteri; Cypriniformes; Catostomidae.
UCUGCGUAACUACGUUAACAAUGUCUAUCUUUUUUAGAACGAUAUAUAAAGUUAAAGAUCAGUUCAAAAACGGCAUGCACAUGAACUGCUUUUAAUCUUAAACAACAUAAGCACUAAUUAUACAGUAUUAAGAAGAUAGCAACAUAUGUGCCACAGUGAUGUACUUGAGGAAUCGAGAAUGGAUGGCGAGCAUUCCUCAUUCCCGCAGCUCACUCUUUUCCAGUCUAAUCCCAUAAAAAAUUGAUUCUGUCAAUCAAUUUCGCCCUGCCUGUAGGAUUGAUUUAACAACCUGUGAAGCCCUCUUUUCGGACGUUUGUCAUGAUAUAACGCUCACUGACCGAGAAUGUUCUCUAAAAAUCUGGUAGAAGUGAAGAAACUGAGUGGAAAAGCGUUUUCGAGAGGAGCCGAGUGAUUACACCUCACAGUCAAACCACCCGACAGGUCAAGGAUCUUCUCAAGGUCUACGGCUGCUGGUCUUCAAGCAGGUCGCUGGAAUUUACAUAAAUCAGUGAGAGGAGUCACAUGCACUCAGGUAUCAGCUGCGAGUGACCUUGUUUGACUCGGGUCACCAGCACUUCUUUGGGCACACAUGGAAGAGCGGAUUACACUCUGUCAGGGGCACAACGUUUUUGUUCUGGUCUAUUACUCUUCAAUGAGGAAAUAAGAGGGAAAAGAGUGGGAAUAGGAUCGGGAAAGGACCUCAUGAGCUGGGACUCUAACUUGGGUCACCGUCACUGCAUCAGCACCACAUGUCAUAUCCUGUUUCAUUGGCAUACCCAAAAUGAAAGGCUUAUAACUUGACAUGCAUCCGGUUACCUUGUGUGUGGGCUUGUUUGAAAGAUAAUCACCUCCUCUUAGAAAUGGAAAUCAAUAUUUCUGCCCAUGGAGACACAAACAUCCCUGCGAGCAGCUGGUCCUAAAAGGCACUCACACCCUUCAGAGUAACAGGGUCAGCUCUUGACAGAAAUGACGGGAGAGGAAGGAUUGAGAGAACUUCAGAGAAGGAAUUCUAAAAAAUGGAACUGAAGAAGUUGAACAGAUGGAAAUCGAGCUGAGGAACAGAGAGACAACCGGAGAAACUUUUUGUUGGAUGCGAGCAGAAAUGAGAGGCGCUGAGCGCAAAGAUGUCUUUGAAGAAUAUGAAUAUGAUGAAAUAAAAAAGAAUAGAGGGUGAGAUAAAUUGUUUAGGCUCCACAGUGUGUGGGUUGAACAUAAUUCUGCAAUCAGCAAUCCCCAUGGCUUCAUCUUCUCCUCUCCUCCUCAUCUCAUUCAAACUUCUCCACUCCUCUUUAUUCUCUCCUUCUGUCUACUCAAUCUCUUAAGAGCAGGUUGUGUCUUUAUAUUGGAACAUGUGCUAUAAGUUUGUGAUUGAUUUACUCUUUUGACUGAAGGAGCGACAGCUCUUAUGUAGUGUUUUUGAGAUGAGAGCACCAUGCAGAGAGAGAGACCAUGAGCAGGAGUCUUGAGAAGUUUGAUGUUAUGGAUUUAACAAAUCUAAAUGACUGGCUGCUGCUUGAGCUCCAAGUUCUGUGCUGAAAUGAUGCAUUUUAUCAGCCUUGUUUCACUUACAGCUUGUGCUUGAUACAGUAGAUUCCGAGAAGCAUACAGGAUGCUGAAGCAAAAAAUGUUUUUUUUUUUUACAGUAAAAUGCCAUCAGGAGGAUGAAAAAAAUCUCAGUCUAUCAGUCAGUCUAUCAAUUAAUGGGCCAAUUCUGGCCGGUUUGAAAUAUUUAAAAUGGUGACUGGAAGUUGUCAGUUAUUUGUCUCAGACUGCAUUCCUUAAGAAAAAAAUAAAAAUAAUAAUUUUCAAUAAUUUUUAUACAGAAUAUUCACUUGUUUGCAGUAAGACUCUGAUAAUUCUCGUUUACAUUUUUAAUCAUUCAGUUUCAAAGUUACUGGCACAUUUCAGAGGUUUUGCUAAAAAUUACUAUUCGUCAUUGUGACUGAAUGGGUUGUAGAUUUUCUGUCAGAGAAGAUUUAAAUAAUUAAAAUCAUGAACAAGUGACAAGACUGAGUUCAGUGAAGCAAAUAUAUUUUAUUUAUUAAUUUGGUCAAGUAAACAUUAAAUUUAAACAGUCAAAACUUUGUACAGUAAAUUAUUGUAACACACUAGAACAGCUCAUACCAAGUGCUGUGUUUUGGGUUUUUGUUCUUCUCUCGCAAUGUGAUCUGACGGUCUUGUGAUCUUGUCACCCAGUUUAAUAAAUAUUAGUCCAUGAACUGUUCCACUGGACAACACUUGGCAUCUCUCAUUUCUUUCCCCAAAUUCUCAUGUCUCUCUCCUGUUCUUUUUUCGCAAGGGCAAAUUAAACUUUUUUUCACCUUUCCUUCACUUAUUAUCCCUAACAACCUUUACUGUGGAUAUGCUUCAAAAGUAGAGAAAUAGACAAGAGUUAUAUGGUACUGUGCAAAAGUCUUAGGCAAAAAAAUAUAUUUUACCAAAGCAUCCAUCUUAAGAUGGUUAUUAAAAUCUUCAGCUUUUAGUGUGUCAAUAGAAAGUAUACAUUUUACACUCCCAAACAUUCCUUUUGUAAAUAGAAUAGAAUAGAAUAGAAGAACAAGGAGCAUCGCAACAGAUGGCAUGGCCCCCACAGAGUGCCCCACUGAACAUCGAGUCAGUCUGGGAUUACAUGAAGAGACAGAAGCAGUUUAAAUAGAUAGAAGAACGGUGGAAGCUUGAAACAUCCUAUAUGCUAACAACCAUGAAAAACUGUGUCCAGGUGUACUUAGGAGAAUUGGUGCUCUUUUGAAGGCAAAGGUUGUCACACCAUAUAUUGAUGUAGAUCUUUUUAUUUAUACUGGACUUUGUAUGAUGUUAAUUGAUAAAUGAAAAAUAUUGAUGGCAUUAUUUUUGAAGAUAUCCUCACUAUGCUACAUUUUUCACAAGUGCCUAAAACUUUUGCACAGUACUGUACUUUUUCUAGCUGUCAAAGUGACAGAUUGAGUAAAUGACAAAUUUGUUUUGGUUCCGAUGGAAAAAGUUCCAACUAGAGUAGAUGGUCAAGUAAUUGUUCACGCUACUGAAAGCAACUGAUGUAUGUUUUUAUUUAAGCGGUCAAAAUGAAUUUGUUACAGUGGUAGAUGUAACUGAUUCCAAACCAUCCAACAUGCUAAGUUUCACUCCACGAGAGAGGAUAAAAGAUCAUACAACGUUCUUAGUCUCUCCAAGAAGAUCGAUGAAACACCAAGUCUCACUACUAGCGUCAUAUGCUCUUUUAUUUACCCAUUCAUUUAUAUUAUUCUUUAACAUAUUAGUACUAUUUUGUAGUUUUUGUUAGUUAUUCUUGUUUGUCUUUUUGUAAAUAAAACA